Molecule: ribosomal RNA, 449 nt
Filed under: uncultured bacterium
Lineage: Bacteria
Description: partial 16S ribosomal RNA
Rfam family: Bacterial small subunit ribosomal RNA
Source: RNAcentral
AACGAACGCUGGCGGCAUGCUUAACACAUGCAAGUCGAACGAGACCUUCGGGUCUAGUGGCGCACGGGUGCGUAACGCGUGGGAAUCUGCCCUUUGCUACGGAAUAACUCAGAGAAAUUUGUGCUAAUACCGUAUGAUGUCGCAAGACCAAAGAUUUAUCGGCAAAGGAUGGGCCCGCGUAGGAUUAGCUUGUUGGUGAGGUAAAAGCUCACCAAGGCGACGAUCCUUAGCUGGUCUGAGACGAUGAUCAGCCACACUGGGACUGAGACACGGCCCAGACUCAUACGAGAGGCAGCAGUGGGGAAUAUUGGACAAUGGGCGAAAGCCUGAUCCAGCAAUGCCGCGUGAGUGAUGAAGGCCUUAGGGUUGUAAAGCUCUUUUACCAGGGAUGAUAAUGACAGUACCUGGAGAAUAAGCGCCGGCUAACUCCGUGCCAGCCGCCGCGGUAA